CGGGACGGGUGAGUAAUGUCUGGGAAACUGCCUGAUGGAGGGGGAUAACUACUGGAAACGGUAGCUAAUACCGCAUAACGUCGCAAGACCAAAGAGGGGGACCUUCGGGCCUCUUGCCAUCGGAUGUGCCCAGAUGGGAUUAGCUAGUAGGUGGGGUAACGGCUCACCUAGGCGACGAUCCCUAGCUGGUCUGAGAGGAUGACCAGCCACACUGGAACUGAGACACGGCCAG
Molecule: ribosomal RNA, 232 nt
Filed under: uncultured bacterium
Lineage: Bacteria
Description: partial 16S ribosomal RNA
Rfam family: Bacterial small subunit ribosomal RNA
Source: RNAcentral